Molecule: long non-coding RNA, 2096 nt
Filed under: Marmota monax (woodchuck)
Lineage: Eukaryota; Metazoa; Chordata; Mammalia; Rodentia; Sciuridae
Source: RNAcentral
UUGGGAAGAUUCAUAUAAUCUAUAACAUUCUCUGUUAACAUAAAAUCACCAGCAGAGUUCUUCCUCGCCAGGUUCUGAAGUAGAGGGCAAUCACAUGGCUGAAAGAGCAAGCUACCUGUGAGAAGAAAGCAAGAUCUUGUUCUAUCAGCCUCCAAAGCUUCCUACAUCUUCAAUUCCAAGCCCUCAGAGCUUGGAAUGGAGGCCUUUGACUAUGUACACUGACAUCCUCAGUUAGAGAAAGAGUCUUGAAGUUGCAACUGCUGCCCAGUUAGAGCAAAACAAGCAUUAAGUUACUGGAGUCCAAACCUCUGGUGCUGCUCCACAAUAGAUAUUUGUUUACAGCUGUGGACAAGCCCAAGCGUUGGUUUCAAUUUAUAGUGUCUGGCAAUUUCUACUGCUGGGAUUUUAGCCAAAGCCAACCUCUCUCCUUCUGUCUGUCUUUAUCCAUCUCAUUUCUCAGUUAAUAUUUUGAAAUAUUCUUCCUCUGAAUCUCUAAAUAUGCCAUUUGGAGUUUGACUUAUAACAACUAUGUUCUCCCCAACAUCUGCUAUAUAUUACUUUUGUAAUCAAGAUUUGGCCAAAUUAUGUUUCUUUCUGGGUUAGAAAAAUCCAGAACUGAAUUCUAAUUCUGGAGCAUUCAUUCUUGGAGCAGUCAUUAAGUCUCUCUGAGUUAAUUUCUUUAUCUAUAUAAAAACUAAAACAAUAUCUCUUUCAACAGAAUGUUAUUGUGAGGACUAAAAAUGACUAUAUAAAAAUAUUAGCAUAAUACCAAGUCCCUUGGAGCGAAAAUAGGUUUUGGUGUAUAGGAAGAUGUGUGAGGAUUCCUUUUCAUGCUGUAAAUAUAAUAACAUACAAAUAAGAAAAUCAAGUGGAAAAAUUUAUUAGAAAAUAAUUCAUUAAGGAAUAAUCACAUCCCUCAUCAAUUGGAAGUUGAGUAGAUUAUUGUUCUGAUUUGGCCAGUUUAUAUUUACACUCAAAUGCCUUUGUUUUUCCGAUCAUGAUUAGGAAUGGCUUAAUUAAUGAAUUCAUGGGGACAGAGCAAAAUGAAAGGAGCAGAGACCACGAACUAGAUUUACCUCAUAUUGGUAUUCAUCCAAUUUGGUGUGGGUCAAUAAUGGGAAUAAAGAGAUUGGUUUUGGAUUUCACCUUCAUCUUUAACCCUGAGAUGAAUGGAAUCACAUUGUAGAGACAGCAGAGGAUUUGCGCAGAGACAGAAAGGGAGACAGAAAAUGAAAUCAGGACAUCUGGGAAACAAAGGAAUAUUAAAGGUAAGGGAAGAAUCAAGGCAGAGUCAAGAACCAAGUCUAGUGGCAGGUAGCCAAUAAAAGAACUGUGUCUCUUUUUUCCCCUCUUUUUAAAACAACAGGAGGGUAUAUUUUGACAUAUUAUACAUACAAGGAGUAUUAACAUGGAGAUCUCAUUCUUGUGGUUGUACAUGAUGUGGAGUUUCACUGUUCAUGUAUUUGUAUAUGAACAUAGAAGGAUGUUGUUUUGAUACAAGAAGGUUUGACUGAAGACUUGACCCAAUUCCAGCCAAUUUCUAGCAUAAGUUAUAAUUUGUAGGAGUGAAAUUUUAUCCUAGUAUUCUUUUUCCACCCACUCUCUCUGCAAACCACUCUGUUGCUUGUUUCCUCCUAUACCUGCAUGAAAGUUUAGGUGGAUUCCAUAAUAUCUCUGCUCAUUCUAAAGUAUUCUCAGGAACAGCCUUGAGUUUUAAGGUAAUCAACUUCCAGUCUAGCUUAAUGUAAGAACUCAAACCCUCUUUCAGUCUUAAGCAUUGCACUCCUCCCUGCCCCUCCUGCCCCAACCCACUUGCAUGACUCAUGCUGGGAAGAGUUAAAGAGAUGCAUGGUUAGCUGUUUUUCCAUAUUUCUCCCAAACUGCCUGGAUGCUUUUCCUCUCCCAACUAGAGUUAUGUGUUAAAGGCUGGGGGAAGGGUAGAGGGAGGGUAGCAAAAUGGAGGAGAAAAAGAGACAGGGAGAAUUUGGUGGGUACAGGGUUCAUCUAUCAUUACCCUCCUAGGAUGUCAGAUAAUCAAUCUUUUUCUGGUUGCUACUUUUGUGGGUGUUUGUAAAUAUCCUUCUCUGGGAGUUCCC